Molecule: RNA transcript, 2649 nt
Organism: Rhododendron vialii
Lineage: Eukaryota; Viridiplantae; Streptophyta; Magnoliopsida; Ericales; Ericaceae
Exons: 3
Source: RefSeq, a predicted model, not a curated record
ACAGUAACACAACUCACCCCCGCCGGCCGCUCUCUUAUCUCUCCCACGCCUCUCUCUCUCCUCCAAACUUCUCUCUUUGAUUUCAUCUUCAUAGAAAGAGAUUUUUUCAAAAUCUCAAGUAUUAAAGUUGUUCUACGCGACGAGAUCUUCCUAUCGAUCCAAGAAGAAUCAUGAUCGGAGCACUUUGAGGUUUCCUCCAUGUUCGGGCUUGCUUCUAACCUUCGAGGAAAAUUCGCGAUGUGCUACAUGUCGUGCACGGGAGGACGACUGAGUACUACCAUGGGAAAAUCUUGGAUGGCUUGAGGUCUGACAGCUUGUUCAUGUCAAACUAUCCCUACCGAAGACUUGGACAAGAUGAUGGAGUCUUCGAGUGUGGAAAUGGAAGUCCUGCACACUUAGCACCCGUGUUGGUGCCGAGCCCGGAUCGUUGGGAGUCCAGGAAAGGCACUCUGACGAUCAAGUCAGUACAGAGGAGAGAAAGGGGAAAGGUCAGAGUAGGUAUGAGAGUUUUUGGGGAGAGAAAAGCUUACCUCCUUCUGAAAGAGGAGCACUCCUUUUAUAGGCAGAGGUAACUUGGAGCCUAACCCACGUGUGAGCACCACACGCUCGGUGGUUGGGGCUAAGUUGAGAUGCUUAGACAGGCCUAUUCUUAUCCAAAAGCCUGUCACGAGCUCUGCCCUCCACUCAUUUGCCAAGUUGGGCGGUGUCACGGUAGCUUCCAUCCACCUGUUGGCCUUUAGCUGUCACGACACCUAACCCUCCCACCUGUACAACUCUUCCUGGCUUCCUCAAGGGACUGCGGUAGCUCGACAUCAGGUUAUAUGUCUGGACACGUACGUCUGGCAGCAUGGCUGGGACACCCCAUUAUGCCAAGUAACCUUGGUCCGGCGAGAGCACGCCGGUCCGGCGAGAGCACGCCGGGCAAUAGGAGAUCGCUGAGCCUAUCAGACAUGGUUAAACUCUUGGACCUCUUGUUCUUAGUAUCGGACGGGACGAGCCCAGUUCGGCGAGUCGUCUCGACAACAAUAGUUCGGCAGAGAUCCCCAAGUAUCAAGUAGCCUUGGUCCGGCAUGCACCCUUCGGACACUCGGGGUGAAGGACCAGUCCACCCCUGAUGAACGAGCUCUGCGAUCCUCAUGUCUGGCGGUGCGCCCGGCAGCAAGCUCCUGACGAUAUUCCAUGUCAGCAGCACUCAAGUCAUCGGUCAACCCGUGGACCUCUGUGGUUGACCCGUUGCCUAGGUGACGUGGCUGAACCCUUUGGUCCUUGUCCGAACCCGGCCACCACAUAUAUUUACAGUGUCAGUAUGUAUGAUUGAUCAGACUCAAUUUUUUUGCACCAUGGACGAGUUGUUGGGACCCACAUGUUAUGGACCUUUUUUAAUAAAAUUUUUAGAGUUCAUUAUUAUUGAUUGUUAGCUUUAAGGGACCAAAGUGUAUUGACUUGUAAACAUAUCAAUUGGUGAAGGAAUUACUUGGAGGGGACUAGUGCAAUUUUUACAUGUAUAUAUGUUGGAGACAUCAGAGAACUCAAUGCCAUUUCUCUUCUUUCUUUUUCUUUUUUUUUUUUUCCCGUUGCUCUCUCUCCAACACCAUAAACCCUAGACUUCAACCCCAAAAUUGAAGACCAAGGCUCGCGAAUUUCACAAAGGGUGAAGAGGAAACAUUGAUCUACGGAAAGAGAGCUACGCAUCGAUCCAAACAAAGUUGCCAUCAGACAACUUUGGGAUCCCUAGCGAAUUGGGGCUUUUCUCCUCUUGAGGUAGGGUUUUCUACUAGUCUCUUUAAAAUGCAAGUUACCAUGUAUGAAAAUAAUUACUGUUGAGAGUUCAAGCAUGAUAAGAAAAAAAGCCCUAAUUUGAGUUCUAUGGUACAAGUUUAAAAUUUUACGUAUGAAUUGCAAUUUAUGGGUUUAAUGUGUUGUCUAAUGCGAUAAAAAUAUUUUGCCUCAGAGUAUUUGUGGUUCUUAACAUGAGGAUUAUGUUUCACCUUUUCAUACUAGUGGUAUUUCAAAGCCCUAUAUGAUUGCUCGAUGUGUUUUUCUUUCUUGGUGUUUUAUGAAGAGCAUGUUUGGAGAUUUUUAGAUACGUGUUUAUCUUAGUUUGGCAAAAGUGGAAAGCAGUUAAAGAGUUGAGUUGUUUAAGUGAAUAAAAAUGAUGAAUUCUAUGUAAGUCUAUAAAAUUUGAUUUUUGGAGGUUUGGAUUUUCUUGAUUUCUAUGGUGUAUGUUAAGAAUUUGAUAUUGAUAGCAGUUACAUGUUGGAUUUGGAUUUGAUGCUAGUUAUUUGAGCUAGUGAGCCAUGUAUUGAGGCCGGCAAGAAUUAGCAUUGACAGACACUAUGGUGGAGAUAACUUUUGUUCUUUGACGAGUUUAUCCAAGUGUUGUUUUGUUGGGCUUGGAAGGCUAUCUUUUGACUGCAUGUAUAUAUAUUCCUUUUGUAAUGGAAAAUGGUAAAAGUACUCUACUGAAGAAAUGUUUUGCUACGUCUUUUUUCAAAUGGAAAGGAAAGCUUGUACUUUCUUUUGUAGUUGAAGAUUCCUAUUUUGUUAAGGAGUUUGUAAUUAAGUGUGAGCUACUACAUGGUGUAAUUAUAUCGUUUAAUGUAUCUAUGGCACACAUAUAAGUUUUCAAUUUUCCACUUAGAAAAGAAA